Molecule: transfer RNA, 64 nt
Filed under: Pandalus japonicus
Lineage: Eukaryota; Metazoa; Arthropoda; Malacostraca; Decapoda; Pandalidae
Description: tRNA-Met
Source: RNAcentral
AAAAGAUAAGCUAACUAAAGCUUAUGGGCUCAUACCCCGUCUAUGAAGGUAUAUUUCUCUUUUU